CAGGAUGAACGCUAGCGACAGGCCUAACACAUGCAAGUCGAGGGGCAUCGGGACGUAGCAAUACGUUGCCGGCGACCGGCGGAUGGGUGAGUAACGCGUAUGCAACCUACCCGUAGCAGGGGGAUAGCCCGUUGAAAGACGGAUUAAUACCCCGUAACACAGGGGCUCCGCAUGGAGAUUAUUGUUAAAGGGUCAUUUCUUUUUCAGGGAUGGUCCGGCUGCGGAUGGGCAUGCGUUCCAUUAGGUAGUUGGUGUAGGUAACUGCUCACCAAGCCGACGAUGGAUAGGGGAACUGAGAGGUUGGUCCCCCACACUGGUACUGAGACACGGACCAGACUCCUACGGGAGGCAGCAGUGAGGAAUUUUGGUCAAUGGACGCAAGUCUGAACCAGCCAUGUCGCGUGAAGGAGGACGGCCCUAAGGGUUGUAAACUUCUUUUGCAGUGGAAUAAAGUUUGCCACGAGUUGGCGAUUUGCAAGUACGCUGCGAAUAAGGAUCGGCUAACUCCGUGCCAGCAGCCGCGGUAAUACGGAGGAUCCGGGCGUUAUCCGGAUUUAUUGGGUUUAAAGGGUGCGCAGGCGGGG
Molecule: ribosomal RNA, 584 nt
Filed under: uncultured bacterium
Lineage: Bacteria
Description: bacterial SSU rRNA
Rfam family: Bacterial small subunit ribosomal RNA
Source: RNAcentral